UGAUUUUAUUUUAGAUUACAUAUUCUGAUUUCCUGUGGCCACCCUGCUGUGUUCACCCCUGUGUCACCUUAUUUUACAAAUCCUGGAAACGCCCCUGACCUGCAUCAGUGGGCGGUGCUAAACACUAGUCUGCUUUUGAUCUGCAAACAAAUAGAUAACUGUUACGCUGUAAUAUUAAUCAUGUAUAUCCUGCCUAUAUAAGCACCAUAAUAAUAAUAAUAAUAAAUAAAGUUAGCAGCAUGUUCUUUUCUGUGCUCCGUUUAGAUAAUUAGCAGGGAACAUGAUAUCUGUAUUCUGUCUGCAAAGUUGUCUUUGGAUGGGAAAAGUGAAAGUGAAACAGACUGGCUCUUGAAUGCAUAACAGGCGACUCGGAGAUACAAACAUAAUGGCGUGGUUUAGAAACAAGAGCUCUACUUCACCGUACUCAACUUUAGACAUGAAAGUAGACAGAAAUGAGUCUAAAACAACCACAGAAAACGAAGAUUCAUUCAGAAGUUUAUCUGAACACGCAGAGGGGGAUGUCAGUGAGGGUCAACAUGAGGCUGAUGAAAGCCAGGAGCCCGAGAGCAGGGUGACAGGGCCAAAAGAAGAAGAGGAAGAGUUUGACAGCAGAGAGUAUCGAGUUCACACUACCGAUGAAUUCUACUGCGACUAUGAUUCAACCUGGGAGACCGACCCGAAUGAGGAGAGCCCACCCAGCAGGAUCAGACAGACAACAAACUCCAACUAUUACAAGUUCAGCAGAUUUGAACGUGCUGCGAGAGACAUGCAGAACUUCAGACAUGACUACCCUGUAAGUCUCACACACACACACUGUAAACAGACACUCUCAUGUUUAAGCACAAGCCAAGCACAUGUUGUUCUUUUAUGUGUCCCUGCAGAACCAAAUCAAGACACAGCACAGGAAGAAGAACACAAAUGUAUGUACAUACACAUUUAUUGUUACACUUACUUGCUUUAUUUUUAA
RNAcentral lists this long non-coding RNA (967 nucleotides) under Oreochromis niloticus (Nile tilapia). RNAcentral describes it as "lncRNA (ENSONIG00000039249.1)". Lineage: Eukaryota; Metazoa; Chordata; Actinopteri; Cichliformes; Cichlidae. The record is from RNAcentral.